UGCCAGCCGCCGCGGUAAUACGAAAUGUGCGAGCGUUGUUCGGAAUCACUGGGCAUAAAGGGUCUGUAGGCGGUCCUGUAAGUUAUUGGUGAAAUCCCACGGCUCAACCGUGGAACUGCCAAUAAUACUGCAGGACUUGAGUAUGAAAGGGGCAAGUGGAAUUCCAGGUGUAGCGGUGGAAUGCGUAGAUAUCUGGGAGAACGCCAAAGGCGAAGGCAGCUUGCUGGGUCAUAACUGACGCUGAGAGACGAAAGCUAGGGGAGCAAACAGGAUUAGAUA
RNAcentral lists this ribosomal RNA (279 nucleotides) under uncultured bacterium. RNAcentral's name for it is "partial 16S ribosomal RNA". It matches the Rfam family "Bacterial small subunit ribosomal RNA", at positions 506 to 784 of the family's 1533-position model. The record is from RNAcentral.